RNAcentral lists this transfer RNA (64 nucleotides) under Tropidocephala brunnipennis. RNAcentral describes it as "tRNA-Arg". The record is from RNAcentral. Lineage: Eukaryota; Metazoa; Arthropoda; Insecta; Hemiptera; Delphacidae.
AGGUAAAGAAGUAAAAUCUACAUUUAAUUUCGACUUAAAAAUUAGAGUAAAAACUCCAUACCUU